This 549-nucleotide ribosomal RNA is filed under the name uncultured Glomeromycotina. Its description in RNAcentral is "SSU rRNA". It matches the Rfam family "Eukaryotic small subunit ribosomal RNA", at positions 548 to 1098 of the family's 1831-position model. Lineage: Eukaryota; Fungi; Glomeromycota. The record is from RNAcentral.
UUGGAGGGCAAGUCUGGUGCCAGCAGCCGCGGUAAUUCCAGCUCCAAUAGCGUAUAUUAAAGUUGUUGCAGUUAAAAAGCUCGUAGUUGAAUUUCGGGGUUAGUAGGUUGGUCAUGCCUCUGGUAUGUACUGGUCUCACUGAUUCCUCCUUCCUGAUGAACCUUAAUGCCAUUAAUUUGGUGUUUUGGGGAAUUUGGACUGUUACUUUGAAAAAAUUAGAGUGUUUAAAGCAAGCUAACGCUUGAAUACAUUAGCAUGGAAUAAUGAAAUAGGACGUUCGAUCCUAUUUUGUUGGUUUCUAGGAUUGACGUAAUGAUUAAUAGGGAUAGUUGGGGGCAUUAGUAUUCAAUUGUCAGAGGUGAAAUUCUUGGAUUUAUUGAAGACUAACUACUGCGAAAGCAUUUGCCAAGGAUGUUUUCAUUAAUCAAGAACGAAAGUUAGGGGAUCGAAGACGAUCAGAUACCGUCGUAGUCUUAACCAUAAACUAUGCCGACUAGGGAUCGGAUGAUGUUAAUUUUUUAGUGACUCAUUCGGCGCCUUACGGGAAAC